This 271-nucleotide long non-coding RNA is filed under the name Elaeis guineensis (African oil palm). Its description in RNAcentral is "long non-coding RNA (EGUI_LNC048080)". The record is from RNAcentral. Lineage: Eukaryota; Viridiplantae; Streptophyta; Magnoliopsida; Arecales; Arecaceae.
UAGCCAUAUGAAUCUUUAUGGGACUAUAGUAGAUUGUAGUAGAUUCAUUGUAGGAAUAGGAUACACACCAAAAUAGAAUCUAUCAUCCUUGGUAGACAAGAAAGAUGGUCCUAUGUAAUUUAUGAGACUGAGUUCAGAAGACUUUGGCCAAGAUAGUGUGAGUAAUGGAAAAAAGUUUCUACAUACUUCACAUCAGAAACUCAAGUCAAAUAAAUCUUAUAUAUGAUAGAUGUUGUGGUUUGACGAGUAAUCUAUAACCUCCAUCUUGUCG